CAAUAGCGUAUAUUAAAGCUGUUGCGGUUAAAAAGCUCGUAGUUGGAUUUCUGUCAAGGACAACUGGUCCGCCCCUCGGGUGAGCACAUAGUUUGGUCUUGGCAUCUUGUUGGAAACUGUUGCUGCACUUGGUUGUGUGGCGCAGUGUCCAGCACUUUCACUUUGAGGAAAUUGGAGUGUUUCAAGCAGGCACAUGCCUUUGGACACAGUAGCAUGGAAUAAUUAGAUUGGGCUUUUGCUCCAACUUGUCGGUUUCUGGAGCUGAGGUGAGAAUUAAUGGGGAUUGGUGGGGGCAUCCGAAUUUAGCCGUCAGAGGUGAAAUUCUUGGAUCUGCUAAAGACGGACAACUGCGAAAGCGUUUGCCCAGGAUGUUUUCAUUGA
RNAcentral lists this ribosomal RNA (381 nucleotides) under uncultured eukaryote. Its description in RNAcentral is "partial 18S ribosomal RNA". It matches the Rfam family "Eukaryotic small subunit ribosomal RNA", at positions 592 to 976 of the family's 1831-position model. The record is from RNAcentral.